RNAcentral lists this ribosomal RNA (498 nucleotides) under uncultured bacterium. Its description in RNAcentral is "partial 16S ribosomal RNA". It matches the Rfam family "Bacterial small subunit ribosomal RNA", at positions 28 to 523 of the family's 1533-position model. The record is from RNAcentral.
GAUGAACGCUAGCGGCAGGCCUAAUACAUGCAAGUCGAGGGAGAAUGUUGGAUUCGUCUGACAUGAAACCGGCGCACGGGUGCGUAACACGUAUGCAACCUACCUUUAACUGGGGUAUAGCUCAGAGAAAUCUGAAUUAAUCCCCCAUAAGACUACGACAUGGCAUCAUGAUGUAGUUAAAGCUCCGGCGGUUAAGGAUGGGCAUGCGGUACAUUAGCCAGUUGGUGAGGUAAUGGCUCACCAAGGCUACGAUGUAUAGGGGGUCUGAGAGGAUGAUCCCCCACACUGGUACUGAGACACGAACCAGACUCCUACGGGAGGCAGCAGUAGGGAAUAUUGGUCAAUGGACGCAAGUCUGAACCAGCCAUGCCGCGUGAAGAAUGAAGGCCCUAUGGGUCGUAAACUUCUUUUAUUAGGGAAGAAAAAACGGGAUGCGUCCUGUACUGACGGUACGUAAUGAAUAAGGAUCGGCUAACUUCGUGCCAGCAGCCGCGGUAA